Molecule: RNA transcript, 1089 nt
Organism: Amphimedon queenslandica
Lineage: Eukaryota; Metazoa; Porifera; Demospongiae; Haplosclerida; Niphatidae
Gene name: anaphase-promoting complex subunit 2-like
Exons: 9
Source: RefSeq, a predicted model, not a curated record
UUUUGUAGUCUUGACUGAAGAAACAAGAAAGAUGAAUCUUUAUUAGUGAAGCAUGCAGGCCCAACACCCCCGCAAAAUUUACGGAUCAGUAAAACGAUUGAAAAAUUAGUAUAGUAUAACCACGUGUCAAAUGGAGGCAUUUUGUGUAGAAUUUGAAAAGGAUAUUUACUAGAGGAGAACAAGAGAGAGGGAGAAGAAAUGGAGACUGAGACCCAUACUGACCAACUUUAGUACUGGAAAGAGUUUCAGUCUUUGGUAGCUAAAUUAUUGUUCCUUGCAGAUUCCUAUCUCAUUCUACCAUCCUUCCCAUUGAGAAUAAAGUUAAAGAUUAUGUAACUGAUCUCUGCUCGGACAGUAUUUGAUGAGAGUUUGUUGGGUGUGGUCACCGAAGAACUUCAGGAUUUAUUAAGCGGUUUGCUCAAUGCCAUAUAUGGAACAGGCAACAAGUCUAGAAUAUCAUCAAUAAAGUAUUAGAAUUGGUAAAAUUAAGUUAGUUAGAAAAUAAUAGGUGACAUUAGUAAGGAGUGGUCUGGUAGGAUAUUACAUCACAUAUACAAUUGCUAUGGACGAUUACGGUAUUACAUGUACAUAAUCAGCGCUGGUUGAUUUGCGUGAGUGCUUGCGUCACGUUGAUUUGAGAGAAGAGCUCAUGGAAUCAUUAACUAAAGUUUAUGAGAGUAGGUUACUCUACCAUGGUGCUAAUACAUCUGAUAUCAUUACCCAGUACAUCUCUUCAGUUCAUAGUCUAAAGCUACUGGACCCAACUGGUGUUGUAUUGGAAAGAGUAUGUGAACCAGUCAAAGCGUAUCUGAGGACUCGAAGUGAUACAGUGACAUGAUUAUUGCCAGUUUGAUUGAUGAUAGUAACAACGACCUUUCGGUGGUACAUGUACAUGUAUUUGGUCAUGUGAUGGUCACAUGACUUGUGCUGUAGGAGCUGGUGAAAGGUGAGACUGUGUUGCUUGAUCUUUCUGAUGAGUAUGAUGAUCCUGAUCAGGACUUUGAGGCUUGGGAACCAGAUCCAGUAGAUGCCGACCCUACAACAACAGCAGGGAAGUGAACAAAACAAAACGAAGAAAACACUGGACAA